Molecule: long non-coding RNA, 508 nt
Organism: Salvia splendens (bonfire salvia)
Lineage: Eukaryota; Viridiplantae; Streptophyta; Magnoliopsida; Lamiales; Lamiaceae
Exons: 3
Source: RefSeq, a predicted model, not a curated record
CUAGAUAUCCAAUCCUUUCACUCAUUGCAAAGGAUAUCUUUGCAAUUCCAAGCUCAACAGUUGCUAGUGAAUCCGCUUUUAGCUUGGGUAAAAGGGUUGUGGAUCCUUUUAGGACCAGCUUGAGUCCAAAAAUGGUAGAGGCAUUGGUGUGCACGAAUGAUUGGCUCAAAGCAGAUAAGUUUAGCUUAUAUAAGGAUCCAACUGAUGAUGACCUUGAUUUGUAUAAAGAAAUUGAAGAAAUUGAAAAGAAUGCACACAUGAGUCAAGAUGAUUCUCAAGUUUUAUCUACUACUUGAUCCAACAAACGAUGAGGGUCAUCUUCAACGAUUUUUUGUGGAAUUUUGAGAAAUGAAGACAACGAGGUUGCAAGAAAUGAAGAUAAUGUUGUUGAUCGUGACUUCAUAAAUUGUUUUGGAUUUGAAUGUUGAAGUUUUAUUAAUUUGAAUGCUAUGAACAAGAUUUGAUUGUGAUGAAGUUUUAUUGUUUUGGGCUUUUUUAAAUAGUUGAA